GCGCUAUAUCGUUGCGAUACUUGCGUGGUGCAUAGUUGCUAUGCUCCACAAUCCUGUCGGGAUAGUAAUACUUGGUGCCAUUUUGAUGCAGAUCCUGUGUGCCUGUUAGGACUCGAAAUGCCGUCGCCUGUCUGCCUCUUGAAUGAGCUCCACUUCCGAUUCCCUGAAGGGAAAUCUGGUAGGGAGCCAGCCCCUCGGCGGCUUCCUCCCCGCCCACAAUGCGAUUCUUGGUAUACUGGGGCGGAUAAAGGAUCUGACUUGUGGCACCCGAAGUGAACAGAACCAGUGGCACCCAAAUGAGCAACAUAAUGCCUGCUUGCUCUUUGAAUUACUGAAUUUCGUUGCCCCUUGGUAAAUGUUUCUUAUAGGAAUUAGGAAAUAGCACAGCCGUUGAUCGUGGAUAUAAUCCAGCUGUAGUAAAAGCUAAUGCGCGCGAAAACAUCGGGGAAUCCAUAGCCACAUGGAACACCCCAGUUACCAAUGCCCACCAAGCGUCCACGGCUG
Long non-coding RNA from Drosophila santomea, 504 nucleotides. RefSeq lists it as uncharacterized. Lineage: Eukaryota; Metazoa; Arthropoda; Insecta; Diptera; Drosophilidae. The record is from RefSeq and is a predicted model, not a curated record. The transcript has 3 exons.